GAUGAACGCUGGCGGCGUGCUUAAUACAUGCAAGUCGAACGCAGGGACUUGAUGCUUGCUUCUGUGAUGUUAGCGGCGGACGGGUGAGUAACACGUGGAUAACCUGCCUAUGAGUCUGGGAUAAGUUCGGGAAACCGGAGCUAAUACUGGAUAAUACUUUGCACCGCAUGGUUCAAUGUGGAAAGACUUUCUUUGGGUUUGUUUUAGAUGGAUCCGCGCUGCAUUAGCUAGUUGGUAAUGUAACGGCUUACCAAGGCAACGAUGCCUAGCCGACCUGAUAGGGUGAUCGGCCACACUGGAACUGAGCCACGGUCCAGACUCCUACGGGAGGCAGCAGUAGGGAAUCUUCCGCAAUGGGCGAAAGCCUGACGGAGCAACGCCGCGUGAGUGAUGAAGGUCUUCGGAUCGUAAAACUCUGUUAUUAGGGAAGAACAUAUGUGUAAGUAACUGUGCACAUCUUGACGGUACCUAAUCAGAAAGCCACGGCUAACUACGUG
This 497-nucleotide ribosomal RNA is filed under the name uncultured bacterium. RNAcentral describes it as "partial 16S ribosomal RNA". It matches the Rfam family "Bacterial small subunit ribosomal RNA", at positions 28 to 507 of the family's 1533-position model. The record is from RNAcentral.